CCUACGGGAGGCUGCAGUGGGGAAUAUUGGACAAUGGGGGCAACCCUGAUCCAGCCAUGCCGCGUGUGUGAAGAAGGCCCUCGGGUUGUAAAGCACUUUCAGUGAGGAAGAACGCCUGGUGGUUAAUACCCAUCAGGAAAGACAUCACUCACAGAAGAAGCACCGGCUAACUCCGUGCCAGCAGCCGCGGUAAUACGGAGGGUGCGAGCGUUAAUCGGAAUUACUGGGCGUAAAGCGCGCGUAGGUGGCUUGAUAAGCCGGUUGUGAAAGCCCGGGCUCAACCUGGGAACGGCAUCCGGAACUGUCAAGCUAGAGUGCAGGAGAGGAAGGUAGAAUUCCCGGUGUAGCGGUGAAAUGCGUAGAGAUCGGGAGGAAUACCAGUGGCGAAGGCGGCCUUCUGGACUACACUGACACUGAGGUGCGAAAGCGUGGGUAGCAAACAGGAUUAGAUACCCGUGUAGUC
RNAcentral lists this ribosomal RNA (463 nucleotides) under Vreelandella stevensii. RNAcentral's name for it is "partial 16S ribosomal RNA". It matches the Rfam family "Bacterial small subunit ribosomal RNA", at positions 338 to 795 of the family's 1533-position model. The record is from RNAcentral. Lineage: Bacteria; Pseudomonadati; Pseudomonadota; Gammaproteobacteria; Oceanospirillales; Halomonadaceae.